AGAGUUUGAUCAUGGCUCAGAACGAACGCUGGCGGCAGGCCUAACACAUGCAAGUCGAGCGAGAUCUUCGGGUCUAGCGGCGGACGGGUGAGUAACGCGUGGGAAUAUGCCCUUCUCUACGGAAUAGCCUCGGGAAACUGAGAGUAAUACCGUAUACGCCCUUUGGGGGAAAGAUUUAUCGGAGAAGGAUUAGCCCGCGUUGGAUUAGGUAGUUGGUGGGGUAAUGGCCUACCAAGCCGACGAUCCAUAGCUGGUUUGAGAGGAUGAUCAGCCACACUGGGACUGAGACACGGCCCAGACUCCUACGGGAGGCAGCAGUGGGGAAUCUUAGACAAUGGGCGCAAGCCUGAUCUAGCCAUGCCGCGUGAGUGAUGAAGGCCCUAGGGUUGUAAAGCUCUUUCACCGAUGAAGAUAAUGACGGUAGUUGGAGAAGAAGCCCCGGCUAACUUCGUGCCAGCAGCCGCGGUAAUA
Molecule: ribosomal RNA, 471 nt
Filed under: uncultured bacterium
Lineage: Bacteria
Description: bacterial SSU rRNA
Rfam family: Bacterial small subunit ribosomal RNA
Source: RNAcentral